This 579-nucleotide ribosomal RNA is filed under the name uncultured bacterium. Its description in RNAcentral is "bacterial SSU rRNA". It matches the Rfam family "Bacterial small subunit ribosomal RNA", at positions 338 to 916 of the family's 1533-position model. The record is from RNAcentral.
CCUACGGGAGGCAGCAGUAAGGAAUAUUGGUCAAUGGACGAAAGUCUGAACCAGCCAUGCCGCGUGAAGGAUGAAGGUCCUCUGGAUUGUAAACUUCUUUUAUCUGGGACGAAAAAAGGGCUUUCUAGCUCACUUGACGGUACCAGAGGAAUAAGCACCGGCUAACUCCGUGCCAGCAGCCGCGGUAAUACGGAGGGUGCAAGCGUUAUCCGGAUUUACUGGGUUUAAAGGGUGCGUAGGUGGGCAAUUAAGUCAGUGGUGAAAUCUCUGGGCUUAACCCGGAAACUGCCAUUGAUACUAUUUGUCUUGAAUAUCCUGGAGGUAGGCGGAAUAUGUCAUGUAGCGGUGAAAUGCUUAGAUAUGACAUAGAACACCCAUUGCGAAGGCAGCUUACUACAGGAUUAUUGACACUGAGGCACGAAAGCGUGGGGAUCAAACAGGAUUAGAUACCCUGGUAGUCCACGCCCUAAACGAUGGAUACUCGACAUCAGCGAUACACUGUUGGUGUCUGAGCGAAAGCAUUAAGUAUCCCACCUGGGAAGUACGACCGCAAGGUUGAAACUCAAAUGAAAUUGACGG